AACGAACGCUGGCGGCAUGCCUAACACAUGCAAGUCGAACGAUUGCCUUCGGGUGAUAGUGGCGCACGGGUGCGUAACGCGUGGGAAUCUGCCCUUAGGUUCGGAAUAACAGCUGGAAACGGCUGCUAAUACCGGAUGAUAUCGCGAGAUCAAAGAUUUAUCGCCUGAGGAUGAGCCCGCGUUGGAUUAGGUAGUUGGUGGGGUAAAGGCCUACCAAGCCGACGAUCCAUAGCUGGUCUGAGAGGAUGAUCAGCCACACUGGGACUGAGACACGGCCCAGACUCCUACGGGAGGCAGCAGUGGGGAAUAUUGGACAAUGGGCACAAGCCUGAUCCAGCAAUGCCGCGUGAGUGAUGAAGGCCCUAGGGUUGUAAAGCUCUUUUACCCGGGAAGAUAAUGACUGUACCGGGAGAAUAAGCCCCGGCUAACUCCGUG
RNAcentral lists this ribosomal RNA (435 nucleotides) under uncultured bacterium. RNAcentral describes it as "partial 16S ribosomal RNA". It matches the Rfam family "Bacterial small subunit ribosomal RNA", at positions 29 to 507 of the family's 1533-position model. The record is from RNAcentral.